Molecule: non-coding RNA, 67 nt
Organism: Bombyx mori (domestic silkworm)
Lineage: Eukaryota; Metazoa; Arthropoda; Insecta; Lepidoptera; Bombycidae
Source: Rfam
AUUACAUUUGGACCGUCUGUCUACCGAGAAAUUUCACCCACUCAGUGUAAGAUCUACCCUUUGUCUU